UUCAGUUGUCUUUCGGUGUUA
RNAcentral lists this non-coding RNA (21 nucleotides) under Caenorhabditis elegans. The record is from RNAcentral. Lineage: Eukaryota; Metazoa; Nematoda; Chromadorea; Rhabditida; Rhabditidae.